GACGAACGCUGGCGGCGUGCUUAACACAUGCAAGUCGAACGGAAAGGCCCUGCUUUUGUGGGGUGCUCGAGUGGCGAACGGGUGAGUAACACGUGAGUAACCUGCCCUUGACUUUGGGAUAACUUCAGGAAACUGGGGCUAAUACCGGAUAGGAGCUCCUGCUGCAUGGUGGGGGUUGGAAAGUUUCGGCGGUUGGGGAUGGACUCGCGGCUUAUCAGCUUGUUGGUGGGGUAGUGGCUUACCAAGGCUUUGACGGGUAGCCGGCCGGAGAGGGUGACCGGCCACAUUGGGACUGAGGUACGGCCCAGUCUCCUACGGGAGGCAGCAGUGGGGAAUAUUGCAAAGUGGGCGGAAGCCUGAUGCAGCAUCGCCGCGUGCGGGAUGACGGCCUUCGGGUUGUAAACCGCUUUCGCCUGUGACGAAGCGUGAGUGACGGUAAUGGGUAAAGAAGCACCGGCUAACUACGUG
This 468-nucleotide ribosomal RNA is filed under the name uncultured bacterium. RNAcentral's name for it is "partial 16S ribosomal RNA". It matches the Rfam family "Bacterial small subunit ribosomal RNA", at positions 28 to 507 of the family's 1533-position model. The record is from RNAcentral.